This 2893-nucleotide ribosomal RNA is filed under the name Phocaeicola vulgatus. RNAcentral's name for it is "Bacteroides vulgatus 23S ribosomal RNA". It matches the Rfam family "Bacterial large subunit ribosomal RNA". The record is from RNAcentral. Lineage: Bacteria; Pseudomonadati; Bacteroidota; Bacteroidia; Bacteroidales; Bacteroidaceae.
GGAUAAGGAAAGUAAAAAAGGGCGCAUGGCGGAUGCCUUGGCUCUCGGAGGCGAUGAAGGACGUGAUAAGCUGCGAUAAGCUUUGGGGAGGUGCAAAUGACCUUUGAUCCAGAGAUUUCCGAAUGGGACAACCCAAUAUCUUGAAGAGGUAUUAUCUUACUAUGUAAGAGGCUAACGCAGCGAACUGAAACAUCUUAGUACCUGCAGGAAAAGAAAAUAAACAAUGAUUCCCCCAGUAGUGGCGAGCGAACGGGGAACAGCCCAAACCAUCCAUGUUACGGCAUGGGUGGGGUUGUAGGACUACGCCGUUGCAUGAAGACAUCAGAGAAGAACUUUCUGGAAAGAAAGACCAUAGAGCAUGACAGUUGCGUAUUCGAAUGUUGUCGAAGCAUAGUAGUAUCCUGAGUAGCGCGGAGCACGAGGAAUUCUGCGUGAAUCUGCCGGGACCAUCCGGUAAGGCUAAAUACUCCCGAGAGACCGAUAGCGAACCAGUACCGUGAGGGAAAGGUGAAAAGCACUUCGAACAGAAGAGUGAAAUAGUUCCUGAAACCGUGCGCCUACAAGCGGUCGGAGCUCGUUAAUGAGUGACGGCGUGCCUUUUGCAUAAUGAACCUACGAGUUGCCUUUGCCGGCAAGGUUAAGUGUGACGACACACGUAUCCGAAGCGAAAGCGAGUCUGAACAGGGCGUAUAGUCGGCAGUGGCAGACGCGAAACCAAGUGAUCUACCCUUGGCCAGGUUGAAGGCUGGGUAACACCAGCUGGAGGACCGCACCAAUAAGCGUUGAAAAGCUUCUGGAUGAGCUGAGGGUAGGGGUGAAAGGCUAAUCAAACUUGGAGAUAGCUCGUACUCCCCGAAAUGCAUUUAGGUGCAGCCUUGCGGGUUACUGAUGUGAGGUAGAGCGACUGAUAAGAUGCGAGGGCUUCACCGCCUAUCAAGUCUUGACAAACUCCGAAUGCGCAUCAGUUCUACCGCAGGAGUGAGGGCAUGGGUGCUAAGGUCCGUGCCCGAGAGGAGAAGAAUCCGGACCACCUGCUAAGGUCCCGAAAUGACAGCUAAGUUAAACUAACGAAGUCUGACUGCUAAGACAGCUAGGAUGUUGGCUUGGAAGCAGCCAUUCAUUUAAAGAGUGCGUAACAGCUCACUAGUCGAGGAGUCGGGCGUGGAUAAUAAUCGGGUAUCAAGUUGUCUACCGAAGCAGUGGGAUCAUUAAUAUGAUCGGUAGGGGAGCAUUCCAGUCGGCGUCGAAGGCGUACCGUGAGGUAUUCUGGAGCGUCUGGAAAAGCAAAUGUAGGUAUAAGUAACGAUAAAGGGGGCGGGAAACCCCCUCGCCGAAAGACUAAGGUUUCCUGAUCAACGCUAAUCGGAUCAGGGUCAGUCGGGUCCUAAGGCUCAGCCGAACGGCGAUGCCGAUGGCAGAAACGGUUAAUAUUCCGUUACUACCUUCAGGAGUGACGUGGAGACGCAGUAGUGACAGUGCCGCCAUCUGACGGAAUAGAUGGUUGAAGGGUGUAGGAGUCGAUCAUGGCAGGCAAAUCCACCAUGAGAUCCGAACCUGACAGUAUGCCGCGUCCUUCGGGACAAGGCAAUAGUGCGCGUAAGCAUGCUGCCGAGAAAAUCCGCUAAACUUAAUCCUGCAGGUACCCGUACCGCAAACGGACACACGUAGUCGGGAUGAAUAUUCUAAGGCGCUUGAGUGAUUCACGGUUAAGGAACUAGGCAAACUGACCCUGUAACUUCGGGAUAAAGGGUCCCUACCCUUUUAUGGGAGGGCGCAGAGAAUCGGUCCAGGCAACUGUUUAACAAAAACACAGGGCUGUGCCAAAUCGAAAGAUCCAGUAUACAGCCUGACACCUGCCCGGUGCUGGAAGGUUAAGAGGAGAUGUCAUCGAUAAGAGAAGCGUUGAAUUGAAGCCCCAGUAAACGGCGGCCGUAACUAUAACGGUCCUAAGGUAGCGAAAUUCCUUGUCGGGUAAGUUCCGACCUGCACGAAUGGUGUAAUGAUCUGGACGCUGUCUCAACCGUGAGCUCAGUGAAAUUGUAGUAUCGGUGAAGAUGCCGAUUACCCGCGAUGGGACGAAAAGACCCCGUGAACCUUUACUAUAGCUUAUCAUUGAAUCUGGGCACGUGAUGUGUAGGAUAGGUCGGAGGCUUUGAAGCAGGUACGCCAGUAUUUGUGGAGCCGCUGUUGAAAUACGACCCUUUAUUUGUUUGGAUUCUAACCCGUGGAACGGGGACAUUGAUUGGUGGGUAGUUUGACUGGGGUGGUCGCCUCCAAAAGCGUAACGGAGGCUUCUAAAGGUGCCCUCCGGCCGAUUGGUAACCGGCCUUAGAGUGUAAUGGCAUAAGGGCGCUUGACUGGGAGACUGACAAGUCGAUCAGGUAGGAAACUAGAGCAUAGUGAUCCGGUGUUUCCGUAUGGAAGGGACAUCGCUCAAAGGAUAAAAGGUACUCCGGGGAUAACAGGCUGAUCCCUCCCAAGAGCUCAUAUCGACGGAGUGGUUUGGCACCUCGAUGUCGGCUCGUCACAUCCUGGGGCUGGAGAAGGUCCCAAGGGUUGGGCUGUUCGCCCAUUAAAGUGGCACGCGAGCUGGGUUCAGAACGUCGUGAGACAGUUCGGUCUCUAUCUAUCGUGGGCGCAUGAAAUUUGCGUGGCUCUGACACUAGUACGAGAGGACCGUGUUGGACAGACCUCUGGUUUGCCGGUUGUGCCGCCAGGUGCAUUGCCGGGUAUCUAAGUCUGGAUCGGAUAAGUGCUGAAAGCAUCUAAGUACGAAGCCGGCCACAAGAUUAGAUUUCUCAGGGUCGUUGUAGACUACGACGUUGAUAGGAUGCAGGUGUAAAGAUGGAGACAUCAAAGCCGAGCAUUACUAAUUGCCCGUUCACUUUCUUUA